GCAUGGAUUUGGAUUUGUGGCAGGUCUGAUCCAUGGGCCUCUCACAGUGUCCCCCGUGAAAGCUAACUGUGACCCCGAACCAUUGCCUGGCUUUACCCUAUGGGCUUCAGGCACUGAAGCGGGUUAGAGAGUG
This is a small nucleolar RNA of Echinops telfairi (small Madagascar hedgehog), 133 nucleotides long. The record is from Ensembl. NCBI's taxonomy places the organism in Eukaryota, Metazoa, Chordata, Mammalia, Afrosoricida, Tenrecidae.